GACGAACGCUGGCGGCGUGCUUAACACAUGCAAGUCGAGCGGUAAGGCCCUUUCGGGGGUACGACGAGCGGCGAACGGGUGAGUAACACGUGGGUGACCUGCCCUCAGCUCUGGGAUAAGCCUGGGAAACCGGGUCGUAAUAACUGGAUAUGACUCCAUGACGCAUGUUGUGGGGUGGAAAGCCUUGUGCGGCUGAGGAUGGGCCCGCGGCCUAUCAGCUUGUUGGUGGGGGUGAGGCCUACCAAGGCGACGACGGGUAGCCGGCCUGAGAGGCGACCGGCCACACUGGGACUGAGACACGGCCCAGACUCCUACGGGAGGCAGCAGUGGGGAAUCUUGCGCAAUGGGCGAAAG
RNAcentral lists this ribosomal RNA (354 nucleotides) under uncultured bacterium. RNAcentral describes it as "bacterial SSU rRNA". It matches the Rfam family "Bacterial small subunit ribosomal RNA", at positions 28 to 381 of the family's 1533-position model. The record is from RNAcentral.